Molecule: ribosomal RNA, 428 nt
Filed under: uncultured bacterium
Lineage: Bacteria
Description: partial 16S ribosomal RNA
Rfam family: Bacterial small subunit ribosomal RNA
Source: RNAcentral
GUGGGGAAUAUUGGGCAAUGGGCGCAAGCCUGACCCAGCAACGCCGCGUGAAGGAAGAAGGCUUUCGGGUUGUAAACUUCUUUUACCAGGGACGAAACAAAUGACGGUACCUGGUGAAUAAGCCACGGCUAACUACGUGCCAGCAGCCGCGGUAAUACGUAGGUGGCGAGCGUUAUCCGGAUUUAUUGGGUGUAAAGGGCGUGUAGGCGGGACAGCAAGUCAGAUGUGAAAACCAGGGGCUCAACCUCUGGCCUGCAUUUGAAACUGUUGUUCUUGAGUGUCGGAGAGGUAAUCGGAAUUCCGUGUGUAGCGGUGUAAUGCGUAGAUAUACGGAGGAACACCAGUGGCGAAGGCGGAUUACUGGACGAUAACUGACGCUGAGGCGCGAAAGCGUGGGGAGCAAACAGGAUUAGAUACCCUGGUAGUCC